Molecule: ribosomal RNA, 427 nt
Filed under: uncultured bacterium
Lineage: Bacteria
Description: partial 16S ribosomal RNA
Rfam family: Bacterial small subunit ribosomal RNA
Source: RNAcentral
UGGGGAAUAUUGGACAAUGGGCGAAAGCCUGAUCCAGCCAUGCCGCGUGUGUGAAGAAGGUCUUCGGAUUGUAAAGCACUUAAAGUUGGGAGGAAGGGCAUUAACCUAAUACGUUAGUGUUUUGACGUUACCGACAGAAUAAGCACCGGCUAACUCUGUGCCAGCAGCCGCGGUAAUACAGAGGGUGCAAGCGUUAAUCGGAAUUACUGGGCGUAAAGCGCGCGUAGGUGGUUUGUUAAGUUGGAUGUGAAAUCCCCGGGCUCAACCUGGGAACUGCAUUCAAAACUGACUGACUAGAGUAUGGUAGAGGGUGGUGGAAUUUCCUGUGUAGCGGUGAAAUGCGUAGAUAUAGGAAGGAACACCAGUGGCGAAGGCGACCACCUGGACUAAUACUGACACUGAGGUGCGAAAGCGUGGGGAGCAAACA